RNAcentral lists this ribosomal RNA (492 nucleotides) under uncultured bacterium. RNAcentral describes it as "partial 16S ribosomal RNA". It matches the Rfam family "Bacterial small subunit ribosomal RNA", at positions 29 to 507 of the family's 1533-position model. The record is from RNAcentral.
AGUGAACGCUGGCGGUAUGCCUAACACAUGCAAGUCGAACGCCAUCUCAUUAAGAGCUUGCUCUUACGGGAGGCGAGUGUCGGACGGGUGAGGAAUACAUCGGAAUCUACUUUUUCGUGAUGGAUAACGUAUGAAAACUUACGCUAAUACCUCAUACCACCUACUUGUGUAUCCAGGGGGUCUUCUGACCUUACGCCAUUUAUUGAGCCGAUGUCGGAUUAGCUAGUUGGCGGGGUAAAGGCCCACCAAGGCGACGAUCCGUAGCUGGUCUGAGAGGAUGAUCAGCACAACUGGAACUGGGAAACGGUCCAGAUUCCUACGGGAGGAAGCAGAGGGGAAUAUUGGACAAGGGGGGCAAGCCUGAUCAAGCCAUACCGCGGGGGUGAAGAAGGCCUUCGGGUUGUAAAGCCCUUUUGUUGGGAAGGAAAAGCAGCAGGUUAAAACGCCGCUGUUCUGACGGUACCCAACGAAUAAGCAACGGCUAACUUCGUG